This 900-nucleotide ribosomal RNA is filed under the name Salmonella enterica subsp. enterica serovar Muenchen. Its description in RNAcentral is "partial 23S ribosomal RNA". It matches the Rfam family "Bacterial large subunit ribosomal RNA", at positions 1 to 933 of the family's 2925-position model. Lineage: Bacteria; Pseudomonadati; Pseudomonadota; Gammaproteobacteria; Enterobacterales; Enterobacteriaceae. RNAcentral also lists the same sequence under 2 other names. The record is from RNAcentral.
GGGUUGUGAGGUUAAGCGACUAAGCGUACACGGUGGAUGCCCUGGCAGUCAGAGGCGAUGAAGGGCGUGCUAAUCUGCGAUAAGCGCCGGUAAGGUGAUAUGAACCGUUAUAACCGGCGAUACCCGAAUGGGGAAACCCAGUGUGAUUCGUCACACUAUCAUUAACUGAAUCCAUAGGUUAAUGAGGCGAACCGGGGGAACUGAAACAUCUAAGUACCCCGAGGAAAAGAAAUCAACCGAGAUUCCCCCAGUAGCGGCGAGCGAACGGGGAGGAGCCCAGAGCCUGAAUCAGCAUGUGUGUUAGUGGAAGCGUCUGGAAAGGCGCGCGAUACAGGGUGACAGCCCCGUACACAAAAGCGUAUGUGCUGUGAGCUCGAUGAGUAGGGCGGGACACGUGGUAUCCUGUCUGAAUAUGGGGGGACCAUCCUCCAAGGCUAAAUACUCCUGACUGACCGAUAGUGAACCAGUACCGUGAGGGAAAGGCGAAAAGAACCCCGGCGAGGGGAGUGAAAAAGAACCUGAAACCGUGUACGUACAAGCAGUGGGAGCACCCUUUGGGGUGUGACUGCGUACCUUUUGUAUAAUGGGUCAGCGACUUAUAUUCUGUAGCAAGGUUAACCGAAUAGGGGAGCCGGAGGGAAACCGAGUCUUAAUUGGGCGUUAAGUUGCAGGGUAUAGACCCGAAACCCGGUGAUCUAGCCAUGGGCAGGUUGAAGGUUGGGUAACACUAACUGGAGGACCGAACCGACUAAUGUUGAAAAAUUAGCGGAUGACCUGUGGCUGGGGGUGAAAGGCCAAUCAAACCGGGAGAUAGCUGGUUCUCCCCGAAAGCUAUUUAGGUAGCGCCUCGUGAAUUCAUCUCCGGGGGUAGAGCACUGUUUCGGCUAGGGGGUCAUCCCG